Small nucleolar RNA from Meriones unguiculatus (Mongolian gerbil), 125 nucleotides. The record is from Ensembl. NCBI's taxonomy places the organism in Eukaryota, Metazoa, Chordata, Mammalia, Rodentia, Muridae.
UGUGCAUGUGUGUGUGUGUGUGUAACUGGUAGGCAAAUACAUAAAAUACAGGUACAAAAAUAAAUACUUUUGCAACUCAAAACUCAGUGUUCAUUAUUCAUUUUGAUACAUAUAAGAAUGGUAUG